GAUGAAGAACGCAGCGAAAUGCGAUAAGUAAUGUGAAUUGCAGAUUUCAGUGAAUCAUCGAAUCUUUGAACGCACCUUGCGCCUUGUGGUAUUCCACAAGGCAUGCCCGUUUGAGUAUCAUUAAAUCAUCAACUCUAAAACCUUUGUGGUUUUUUUUAGAGCUUGGUCUUGAGGGUUUUGCAGGCUUUUUUUUUUUUUUCGAGUCUGCUCCCUUUAAAUGCAUUAGCGAGACUUCCCUAUGCUGAACCGUCUCUUUGACGUGAUAAUUAUCUGCGUCGAAUUUUGGUUCUCGUUGGGCUUGCUUCUAAUCGUCUGUUAAAGACAAAACGGAUUUGGGUGCAUAUAUGCGCCUUUUUCCAAAACCUUUUUUUGAUCUCAAAUCGGGUAGGACUACCCGCUGAACUUAAGCAUAUCAAUAAGCGGGGGA
This 427-nucleotide unclassified non-coding RNA is filed under the name soil metagenome. Its description in RNAcentral is "partial contains 5.8S ribosomal RNA, internal transcribed spacer 2, and large subunit ribosomal RNA". The stretch from base 1 to 120 matches the Rfam family "5.8S ribosomal RNA", at positions 35 to 154 of the family's 154-position model. The record is from RNAcentral.